RNAcentral lists this long non-coding RNA (678 nucleotides) under Mytilus galloprovincialis (Mediterranean mussel). The record is from RNAcentral. Lineage: Eukaryota; Metazoa; Mollusca; Bivalvia; Mytilida; Mytilidae.
CUGGCUGUUUAUGACGUCUUUACACUAAAUCCAUUGGAUGUUGGAUGUGUACGGAUUGAUAGUUUAGUCUUAGAUGCAUGGUUUUUUUUUAUUAGUUGUUAGUGGCUUUGAACUAGCUGUCAGAUAACUGCGAGUACUUUCAGAUCUGUUCAUUGUGUCUUUUUUGUGUUUGGAUGUAUGAUGUAUAAGUACCCGGCCACGUCCACUUGAAUUUUUUGUCCAUCUGAUGAGUUAAGCCUUUUUCAACUAAUUUUUUAAUGUCGUUCUUAUGUUGUACUGUUAUACCACUGUCCCAGGUUAGGGGAGGGUUGGGAUCCCGCUAACAUGUUUAACCCCGCCACAUUAUUUAUGUAUGUGCCUGUCUCAAGUCAGGAGCCUGUAAUUCAGUGGUUGUCGUUUGUUUAUGUGUUACAUAUUUGUUUUUCGUUCAUUUUUUUUUUACAUAAAUGAGUCCGUUAGUUUUCUCGUUUGAAUUGUUUUACAUUGUCUUAUCGGGGCCUUUUAUAGCUGACUAUGCGGUAUGGGCUUUGCUCAUUGUUGAAGGCCGUACGGUGACCUAUAGCUGUUAAUGUCUGUGUUAUUUUGGUCUUUUGUGGAUAGUUGUCUCAUUGGCAUUCAUACCACAUCUUUUUUUUUUUAUAUAACUCGGAAAGCAAUUGUAGAUAAAACAGUUUUGCU